Molecule: ribosomal RNA, 303 nt
Filed under: uncultured bacterium
Lineage: Bacteria
Description: partial 16S ribosomal RNA
Rfam family: Bacterial small subunit ribosomal RNA
Source: RNAcentral
AGCAGUCGCCGCGGUAAAACGUAGGGUGCAAGCGUUAAUCGGAAUUACUGGGCGUAAAGCGCACGUAGGCGGCUUGGUAAGUUAGAGGUGAAAGCCUGGAGCUCAACUCCAGAAUUGCCUUUAAGACUGCCGAGCUAGCAGGUGAGAGAGGUAAGUGGAAUUCCGAGUGUAGAGGUGAAAUUCGUAGAUAUUCGGAAGAACACCAGUGGCGAAGGCGGCUUACUGGCUCAUACUGGACGCUGAGGUGCGAAAGCGUGGGGAGCAAACAGGAUUAGAUACCCCGGUAGUCCCUGUCUCUUAUAC